Non-coding RNA from Schizosaccharomyces pombe (fission yeast), 250 nucleotides. The record is from the annotation of a GenBank genome assembly. Lineage: Eukaryota; Fungi; Ascomycota; Schizosaccharomycetes; Schizosaccharomycetales; Schizosaccharomycetaceae.
UAAUGUCUCUUGCCAGGCAGGAACUGUAGAAAGUGGAACAACUACAAGAAAAGGUCCAUGCUGUCUUAAAGAAUGUGCAAGAUAUGAAAGAAAAGCCACAGUUUGGACUGUCUUACCGAGACCCAUUUCAUCGGCCAAAAUCCCAUUUUCAUUUUUAUGCCAAAGAUAUGCCAUCCAGUUGACGCCUGUAAGCUGAAAGUCACGAAGCUCACCACCGGUUAUAUACGAAGGCUGUUGCUCCAGUUUUCGA